GAAAUUUGAUUCUGGUUUUUACUUAAUUGUGACUAGCUUUAAUACAUGGUAGUUUAGCGAAGCUGUAAAUUGUGUGUUUUGUUAAGUUUAUUUUAAAUAAAUGACUUAUAUAGGCAUAUUCUUAUCAAAUGAUUUUAUGACAAGAAUAUUUACAACAUCAGUAUUUGAUAUUAAAAAAAGAAGAAAUUUCGUUUUAGGUAUAGUUAAGAAAGGCAGUAAAGUCUGUGCCAGCAACUGCGGUUAGACAGGAGCUUUAAGUUAAGUUUUUCGGUAAAAAAUAGUUAUAUAGGAUUUUUGUUGAGCUUUAACUUAUAUAAAAGUAAAAUUUGAAUAUAAGUAUUAAAGUCUAGAUAACAACGGUUAGAUAGAAUCUAUGAAACUUUUGUUUAAAACUGGGAUUAGAUACCCCAUUAUUAAAAAUUUAAAUAGCUUUACCAGGGAAUUACGAAUAAAAGUUUAAAAUCCAAAGGAUUUGGCGGUACUUUAUUUCUAUCUAGGGGAACCUGUUCUUUAAUCGAUAAUCCGCGUUUAACCUAACUUUACUAAAUAUAUUGAGUUUGUAUACUGCCGUCAUCAGCUUACGCUUAAGGGUAUAAAAGUUAGCUAAAUAAUCUUUAGUUUCUAUGUCAGGUCAAAGUGCAGCUAAUGGUAAAGUAGAAAUGGGUUACAAUUUUUAUUUAAAUUACUGUAGUCUUAUUGAAAUAUAAGAUGAGAGGAGGACUUAGAAGUAAUAAUUCUUUAGAAUAAUAAUAUGAACUAGGCUCUAAAGUGUGUACAUAUCGCCCGUCGCUCUCUUUCUAAUAAGAGAUAAGUCGUAACAUAGUAGGGGUAGCUGAAGCUGUUCCU
Molecule: non-coding RNA, 846 nt
Filed under: Tonicia forbesii
Lineage: Eukaryota; Metazoa; Mollusca; Polyplacophora; Chitonida; Chitonidae
Source: RNAcentral